UUGUCCUACGGGGCGCAGCAGUGAGGAAUAUUGGUCAAUGGGCGCGAGCCUGAACCAGCCAAGUCGCGUGAGGGAAGACGGUCCUAUGGAUUGUAAACCUCUUUUGUCGGGGAGCAAAAGACGCCACGUGUGGCGUUCCGAGAGUACCCGAAGAAAAAGCAUCGGCUAACUCCGUGCCAGCAGCCGCGGUAAUACGGAGGAUGCGAGCGUUAUCCGGAUUUAUUGGGUGUAAAGGGCGUGUAGGCGGGAGCGCAAGUCAGAUGUGAAAACUCAGGGCUCAACCCUGAGCCUGCAUUUGAAACUGG
This 305-nucleotide ribosomal RNA is filed under the name uncultured bacterium. RNAcentral's name for it is "bacterial SSU rRNA". It matches the Rfam family "Bacterial small subunit ribosomal RNA", at positions 334 to 636 of the family's 1533-position model. The record is from RNAcentral.